GAUGAAUGCUGGCGGCGUGCUUAACACAUGCAAGUCGAGCGGUAAGGCCCUUCGGGGUACACGAGCGGCGGACGGCUGAGUAACGCGUGGGAACAUGCCCUAAAGUGAGGAAUAACUGCCCGAAAGGGUGGCUAAUGCCGCAUAUGAUCUUCGGAUUAAAGGAUUUAUCCGCUUUAGGAGUGGCCUGCGUACGAUUAGCUUGUUGGUGAGGUAAUGGCUUACCAAGGCGACGAUCGUUAGCUGGUCUGAGAGGAUGACCAGCCGGACUGGAACUGAGACACGGUCCAGACUCCUACGGGAGGCAGCAGUGAGGAAUCUUCCACAAUGGGCGAAAGCCUGAUGGAGCAACGCCGCGUGCAGGAUGAAGGCCCUCGGGUCGUAAACUGCUUUUAUGAGUGAAGAAUAUGACGGUAACUCAUGAAUAAGCACCGGCUAACUACGUGCCAGCAGCCGCCGCG
Molecule: ribosomal RNA, 458 nt
Filed under: uncultured bacterium
Lineage: Bacteria
Description: partial 16S ribosomal RNA
Rfam family: Bacterial small subunit ribosomal RNA
Source: RNAcentral